RNAcentral lists this ribosomal RNA (301 nucleotides) under uncultured bacterium. RNAcentral describes it as "partial 16S ribosomal RNA". It matches the Rfam family "Bacterial small subunit ribosomal RNA", at positions 509 to 807 of the family's 1533-position model. The record is from RNAcentral.
CAGUAGCCGCGGUAAUACGGAGGGUGCAAGCGUUAAUCGGAAUUACUGGGCGUAAAGCGCACGCAGGCGGUCUGUCAAGUCGGAUGUGAAAUCCCCGGGCUCAACCUGGGAACUGCAUUCGAAACUGGCAGGCUAGAGUCUUGUAGAGGGGGGUAGAAUUCCAGGUGUAGCGGUGAAAUGCGUAGAGAUCUGGAGGAAUACCGGUGGCGAAGGCGGCCCCCUGGACAAAGACUGACGCUCAGGUGCGAAAGCGUGGGGAGCAAACAGGAUUAGAUACCCGGGUAGUCCCUGUCUCUUAUAC